AUGGGGCUGCUAGCACUCAGAAGGGGGAGAAUCACUGUGAAGGAGGGUUGGGCUCUUUUACCAUUACCAUUACCAUUGCUUCAACUCGGUCUUCAGGAGCUUUGCCUUGACUCAUCACAAGCUGGCUGGACAGACUGCGGUACAGCACACGGACAGAGAGCAGAUUGGGCGCCCCUCACUCUGGGUUCACCAGCAGAGCAGAGGACUGAGGUCAGCCUGAAUGCCUCCGUGUUCUCAGGAGCCAUGACUCAGAGGUUCAUUCGCAGUUCCUCAGCGCUGCACACAGACGUUCCUCUGUAGGCUGGCGGCCCCCAUACCAGAAGCCCUGCUCCUGGCAGCAUGCAGCCCUCCCCACCUCACCGUGCCCCUCAGAACUGUGUUCUUGCCUGGAGGGCUUGGAGAAGGAGCCUCCAUAAGCCAUAAAUUGCCUCCCCCUCUGCUGGAGAAAAAAAUCAAAGCAUCCUGGGCUCCCUUGGGUUUCGCAGCACCCCUGGGCUCUGAGAGCCCGGUUGAAGUGGGUGUCUCUCAUUGGUAUGGGGAAAAUGGGAGAAACCUCAAGAGUUCAGUCUCAGCUGCAUCAAUCCAUUCAUCCUUCCCACUUCAAAGCACCUCAGCCUCACCAGGGACCAUGGUGGGUAUCGUGACAGAGCACACUGGCGAAGCAGGCCCCGCGGCAGUGAAGGAAGGAGCAGCCUCUCUCUUUUUCUCGGAUGGGAAUGGCAAUUGCUUGCUUGCCUCAUCUGAAAGCUCACCAUAGUCCCUGCUAAGUGCAGAGACUGAACAUGCAAUGCAGGGCUAGGGGCUGUGGUGAAUGCAAUGUCACCAUUUUUGGCUAUUCAUAAAUCUGUCCUUCCAUCCACAUCAUCUGCCCUAAUUAGAUAGCAGACCUCACCAGGAAGGUCUCUGUGAGCAGGAGAGAUCCAAAUCUCUCCAGGCAGAAGCUGUUUUAAAGGAGGCCCUGUGCAACCACGCUACUUGGGACUCACCAAAAUAUGGUGCCAGGAGAAAGAGCAGAACUCUCUUGAGAUGCUCUGAAUGUUUGUUUGGUUUUUGUUGUUUGAUUGCUUGUUUUUGUGAGUGCUUCAUAUUUCAUGCAUCCAUAAACAGCAGCACAAGGGCCCAGUUAACCCAAAAUGAGUCUACCAGUAAAGGACAAAGCUGGAAGAUGAUCUUUUGCAAACCUAUGCAUGAGCCAGUUGCACUGAACCCCCAUACUCCUGGGGCUGCUCUUGGCCAGAAGAGACAGUAAUGUUAGGGCAUGGUCUUGCUUGACUCACCUCACUUGUAGCCCUGAUUUUACCUAGAAACAAAACAGACCAGCUCCACAGUUUGAAUGCUGCUAUGCCCAGCUCCACAUAGGGCUGUGUGUAUUCGUACCUCACAGCCCAGCCAUGCCCCAACCACUGGGGAGUUUUUCUCUUAGCUGUAUGUCUCCUUUUCUUUCUUCCCUGGCAUCCAGCACCACAUCAGCCCAUUUAAAUUUUCUUAUUUUCCCUGCCUAAUAACAGAGACCGACUUUACUGGUAGACCCAGUUGAAUUAUUCACUGCAAUCAUUAUCAUUAAUCCAGUCUAUUUGCUGAGCCAGCCCUGAUGGGUUGAUGGGUGAAUGUAUUUGUCAUUCAUAAGUAUUUGCCAAAAUAGCCUGGGUGAGCCAUUUCUCCCCAGGCCAUUCAAUAGUAGCUAUUUGUGUUCCCUUCCAUUAAAACUCAUCUCCCACACAGCCACCAGUACAAGUGCAGGCUUAAACCAGACCUGGAUGCUGUUUUGAGCACGUUGUUCCCCUGCCCCAUUGCUGCCCUGUCAGCUCAUCUGUGCUGCCAGUAAGGCACAAAGCAACUUGGCUACACUGGUUCCCAGAUACAGUCCUGCAAUUCCUCACAUUAAUAAUUUUUCCCCCUGUAACUACUACUUUUUUCCCCCCUCUCUCUCAGGUCAUGGCUUUUUCUGGCUGUGGACACAAGAGUUACGUGGAUUUUCUAUUUGCUUCUUCAAAAGCGCACGUGCAAAUGGGUGGGGAAAAUGUACUAAGUGCCAAAGAUUAUAUUUCUCCAAGUGUUAUAGUGGGUUCUAUGGUUACGGUUACAGAGAGCAAAGGAAAUGCAAACGUUGAAGUGGCUGCAGGAGCUGGAACUGAGCCUUUCUGCAUAGGGCUGGUGUGUAUUUAGCAUUCACAGCCAUGGACUAGGUCACCUGUCUGAAAGUAUACCCCAUGUACUGUGCUGAAGCCCAGUCUGCUGUCGGAGCAAUUCUGGCAAGCCCAGAAGUUCCAUAAACUGCAAACUGUUUGGCUUAUUUUCACAUCCUAAACCUCGAUAAGGAGAAAAACUGCCACAUCUUUCAUCACAGAGAAUCCUUUAUGGUUUCUGUGUAAUUCAGAGUCACUUACAAACAAUGCCAUAUGUGAUUAUUGCCAUACAUGUAUUGCAUCUGGAGGGUUCAGCCCUUAUGGGGUAAUGUGGCAAAAAAAUAAAAUAAAAAUCCCUAUUGAUGACA
This is a long non-coding RNA of Coturnix japonica (Japanese quail), 2494 nucleotides long. NCBI's taxonomy places the organism in Eukaryota, Metazoa, Chordata, Aves, Galliformes, Phasianidae. The record is from Ensembl.